Molecule: long non-coding RNA, 1569 nt
Organism: Junco hyemalis (dark-eyed junco)
Lineage: Eukaryota; Metazoa; Chordata; Aves; Passeriformes; Passerellidae
Source: Ensembl
AUCCGCCCUCCCCAGGGGCCCGUCCCCGCCUCUGGGGCUGUCCCAGCGCUGCUCCCCACCGGGACAGCAUCGAUCCCGAGGGACGGCGCUGCCCCCGCUGCCAUCCCAAAUCAGCCGCGAGGAUGCCGCGGACGCUGCGCCAAAGCCCCGCCGGAGCCAAGGGGCUUCAGGCUGGAUUUUGUGGGAAUCUGGAAGCUGGCAGGAGCCGCGUCUCUGGGAUUCUGUCUGAAGCUGGGGCUGUUACUCUGCUGCCUUGUGUUCAGGUAGGAUGGACUUGGGAACGUGCUGAUUGUGUGAAAAUGGAAGAGAAAGGGGGGGGGGAAGGAGAAACCUGGGGGAAAAUGGAUUUUAGUGAUGCCUGCACCACGUCGGGGAGCACAUUUGGAGCUGGUUACCCUCUGCAGCACGUGGCCAAGGCAAACACCGCCAGCCCAGCCAGCUUUGGCUGCGUGCUUGCCAUAAACCCUUGCAAGGGCAUCCAGACUAGCACAGCCCUGGAGCCGCUUCCAGGAUUAGGCCUUACUCCCUUGAAAAAUAAACCUUGGCAGGAGUUCCGUUCUCCCCAAUAAAAAUUCCGUUUUCACAGCUCCAAUCAAGUUUUCCAGAGCCGUGCUCCAAACGAGAAACUGCACACAGAAUCCCUGACCCGGGAGAAGGAGAUGGAGCCCUGCAUUCGGGGCUGUGCCAGGCUGGAAAUUUCCAAAGUUCUGGGUGUCCCAGCCAUGGCAGAGCCCCGGAGUGUCCCAGGAAAUCUGUCCUGGCACAGCAAAGCUCUGCCACGACCAAAUCCCUGCUCCCAGGUGGGUGAGGCUGCUCUGCAGGGAGAGCUGGCAUUGCCCAGCCUGGAGAGGAGAAGAGAAGGUUCUGGAAUAUCUCAGAGCCCUUUGUAGGGCCUGAAGGGGCUCCAGGAGAGCUGGAGAGGGACUGGGGAUGAGGGAUGGAGGGACAGGACACAGGGAACGGAUUCCAAAUGGAAAAUGGGAAAUUUGGGUGGGGUUUUGGGAAGGAAUUGCUCCCUGUGAGGGUGGGCAGGGGCUGGGACGGAAUUCUCAGAGAGGCUGGGGCUGCCCCUGGAUGUUCCUGGAUGUUCCAUGGAAGAGGACAAUUCCUGAAUUCCGUGAUUCCAUGAACUCGUCCAUUGGGCUUGUCUGUGAAAGGAGGAGCCACACCACGCUUGAUCUCUGUGUCUGAAGAUGCUCAGGAAAAAAACCCCAGGUGAGGUUGGGGCUGGAAUGCUCCAUUGGGCUCCCAGUUGUGGCAGCACGCUGGAUUCCGUGGCACCAGGGGUUACGGAACACCUUUUAUGGAGCUCUUGGCAGGAGAACGUGUUAAAAUAACAGAUGUGGCAAAUGACAACCACGUUCUGAGAGCUCGCUGCAGCUCGGGUGUGUGAAAACAAUGGGCUGGGUUUAAAUUGCUUUGAGUAUUUUUGGUUUUUUUCCCCAAGAAAACCUCCAUGGGUAAAGAAAUGGUUGAAAGAGGGGGAAAAAGGCUGAAAGUGCAGGUGGGGGUUUGCCUAAAGGAGCUGAGAUGGGGAGGAGGGUUGAGCCUUGGAGAGCUCCUUGGUGC